This 439-nucleotide ribosomal RNA is filed under the name uncultured bacterium. RNAcentral describes it as "partial 16S ribosomal RNA". It matches the Rfam family "Bacterial small subunit ribosomal RNA", at positions 339 to 795 of the family's 1533-position model. The record is from RNAcentral.
CUACGGGUUGCUGCAGUGGGGAAUAUUGCACAAUGGAGGAAACUCUGAUGCAGCAACGCCGCGUGGAGGAUGACGCAUUUCGGUGUGUAAACUCCUUUUAUAUAGGAAGAUAAUGACGGUACUAUAUGAAUAAGCACCGGCUAACUCCGUGCCAGCAGCCGCGGUAAUACGGAGGGUGCAAGCGUUACUCGGAAUCACUGGGCGUAAAGCGCGCGCAGGCGGGUUUGUAAGUUGGAUGUGAAAGCCUACGGCUCAACCGUAGAACUGCAUCCAAAACUGCUUACCUAGAGUCUGGGAGGGGAAGAUGGAAUUAGUGGUGUAGGGGUAAAAUCCGUAGAGAUCACUAGGAAUACCAAAAGCGAAGGCGAUCUUCUGGAACAGUACUGACGCUGAGGCGCGAAAGCGUGGGGAGCAAACAGGAUUAGAUACCCUCGUAGUC